RNAcentral lists this ribosomal RNA (414 nucleotides) under Acanthamoeba sp. RAC148. RNAcentral describes it as "SSU rRNA". It matches the Rfam family "Eukaryotic small subunit ribosomal RNA", at positions 762 to 1112 of the family's 1831-position model. The record is from RNAcentral. Lineage: Eukaryota; Discosea; Longamoebia; Acanthamoebidae.
AAAAUUAGAGUGUUCAAAGCAGGCAGACAUUAAUCUCUGCCACCGAAUACAUUAGCAUGGGAUAAUGGAAUAGGACCCUGUCCUCCUAUUUUCAGUUGGUUUUCGAGGACCAGGGUAAUGAUUAAUAGGGAUAGUUGGGGGCAUUAAUAUUUAAUUGUCAGAGGUGAAAUUCUUGGAUUUAUGAAAGAUUAACUUCUGCGAAAGCAUCUGCCAAGGAUGUCCACAAUAUAAUCAAGAACGAAAGUUAGGGGAUCGAAGACGAUCAGAUACCGUCGUAGUCUUAACCAUAAACGAUGCCGACCAGCGAUUAGGAGACGUUGAAUUACAAAACACCACCAUCAGGCGGGUCGUUCCUGGCUAGUCUCGCGCAAGCGGGGCUGGUGGGGGCGAUUCGUUUCCUGAUGGCCCGGUGAA